Long non-coding RNA from Cyprinus carpio carpio, 1274 nucleotides. NCBI's taxonomy places the organism in Eukaryota, Metazoa, Chordata, Actinopteri, Cypriniformes, Cyprinidae. The record is from Ensembl.
AUGAAUUUCAGUGGUGAGGACGUCAGUCUAAUGCCACUUAUCCUCCUUUUAUUUUUCCUCUUCUCACAGGUUUAUGACAGGCUGCAGAAGUACAGAGUCCAGCGGCCUGCUCCACUGUUGGAUAACAGACAGGGCCUGGCUCAGGACCUGUGCAAUAAAUACCUGCGAUUGGGUUCCUAACAUCUUGUCUACCAUGUUUGGUGUUCUGUGACAGAAGGCCAGACCACAACUCACCAUGAACCCUGCAAGCACUGCACACAAUGAUCCAUUUUAAUAUAGAGCUCGCCAAUGGGCAGAAAAGAUAUGGAAACAGCUGGUCCUGCCACUUAGUCACUUCAGAACUUCAUAUCCCAUUUCUGUGAGGUUUUUGGACAUCCCGUUGGUGAUACUUCAGUCAGUGAACAACUCAAAUCAGUUACGUCAAGGAACAACCUCAAUUAUAGAAUAUGGUUUAAAAGUUCCAAACCCUCGCAGCUGCCAGUGGGUGGAAUGAGCCAACAUACAGACAAGGACUCGAACUAGCAUUGCAGAUGCCAGCUUCCUUUGACUCUCCAGAACCAUGCCACAAACCCAUGCAGAUAGACACUUGACAUCUCUCCUCAGCAGAGCGUCAAUGCUGGCCUACCCCUAGUCUCUGUCUAUAUUGCGGAGCAGCUAGGCAUGUGGUAACCACAUGUCCCAUCAAGCCUCCACAACUUUAGGUAAGUCACCCUGGUAACCACCCUGGUAACUCUUAUUGUCUUCAAUGCCUCUCUAUCUGUGCCUGCUCUUAUAGAUUCAGGGUCAGCCGGCAACUAUGGAAUGCUCUGCCAUUCCCUGUGGAAAAAUUCCUGUGAAUCUCAGUAAUAGGAAAACUUCUGGGUCAUGGCACUUUCUGUUACUCUGUGGGUCCAAUAAGGCUGUAAGUAGGCUGAUUGCACAUAUAAGAUGUCACGCUGGUUCUUGAAAAGUCAACAGCGGACAUCAUCUUGGGGUACUCAUAUCUUGUUAAACAUUCACCCAUAAUAUUCUGUUCUACAGGACACAUGCUGAAGUAGGGUCCUCAAGUGAUUUUUUUUUUUUACAUCACUUGCUCCAUCCAAGUCUCCUAUGUUGGAAGUCAAUUCCACCUCCAUCGAGAGCUUGAUCAAAAAACCAAAGAUCCUUCUUGUUCUUCUCACUUCAAGGAUGUCUUCUGCCCCAAACAGGCCUCCCAUUUACUGAAUCAUGUCAUAUGGCCUUGUCAGUGCCCCCUCCAUAUUCCAAGGAUAUUCCAUAUUCCUUUUAUCACCCCA